Long non-coding RNA from Felis catus (domestic cat), 1957 nucleotides. RefSeq lists it as uncharacterized. Lineage: Eukaryota; Metazoa; Chordata; Mammalia; Carnivora; Felidae. The transcript has 3 exons. The record is from RefSeq and is a predicted model, not a curated record.
CGAUGCAGGGCUGGAACUCAAAAACUGCAAGAUCAUGACCUGAGCUGAAGCCGGACGCUCAACCAACUGAGCCACCCAGGUGCCACGAAUGUGUUGAUUCUAAACCUCAUGCUUCUAGGUUUCUUCUCUCUUGCCUUCUUGCAAGCCUAUGUAAGUCAAAUUAUCUGCCUUAUAUUGCAGAUGAGGUCUGCAGUGGUGUUUGCUAAAUUUGCAUUAUCUGAGUUGAGCCCAGCCCUCGGGCACGCCACGUCUUUACCCCAGCCUACCAGCCCCAAACACAGUCUUCCUCUUUCCUCCCCAGGCACCCACGCCAGAAAACUGGGAACUGUGCUGACCUCUUUCUUUCUUCACGUGCAGCCAACCAAAGCCCCAGCAGAUUCUGGAACUCCUUGCUCUGAGCUUGGCCCAGACGGCGGGGUCACACGAAGGAUCCCACGCGAGAGACCACUGUCCACGUGAAGCCGCCCUGCACCUUCGUCAUCCUCAUUUCUGCCCACGGUCUCAGCCCGGGACCAGCACACCCAGCAUGUGCACACGCCCAGACACACGCACACAACCCGUCCCCCCACCGCGAGGCAUGCUCUUCGGAGGCAACCCCGGUGGGACAGGAACUACAGAUUCCACAUAACAACCCAGAAAGGGACGCUUGGGUCCAAUGUGCCGGAGGCGACCUUGAACGUGUUGCUUCUAAUCCCCGGUUUGGAAAACGGGAAGGGUUUUCGCUGCCGGGAUGGGACAAAGGGAGGCGCCAAACAGCAGAGAAAAGACCCUUCUCCUGGGCUCCUGACUAGGCAAGCCUCCCCAGGAAAGGAGAACUCUCCUUCCUCCCCCUGCGCCCAGCCCUGCUCCCUCCACCCUCCCCAAUCAUUUCAGUCUCACCUUGUGUCACUUCUAACAUCUGAACUCUGCGCGCCUUGGCCUUGGGAAGCCCGGAUGAGUCUUGCCUGCUGCUUACGGCUCUGCACUGAGCAAGUACUCGGGUCCUCUGGAGAUGGGGGUGCUGGCAGGGCACUUCUCGAUGUUUCUUUCACAAGAAGCUUCAAGUGUCCAGUUAUCGUUGCAUUCUGAUCAUUCACAGGCUCCGAAACAAGAACCAGCCUCCCUAUCUUUUACAGGGAGCCUCAAAAUAACAUGCGCCCAGUAAGAGAGAAAGUCACAUAAACACCGUUCACACACAAACACUCAGAUUCACUUACGAGCCGGGGCAAGGAAGCACAUAGAGGCUUUUCUGAAAUGCCUUCUCUCUGCCGCACCAACGCAAGGACACGCCUAGAACCCCCGGGGCACCUACGUCGACAGAGGCCUGGAUACUGUGGCGACACACGUGUGCAAACAGACAUGGUCAGACCCAGGCACACGCCCCGCUGUGGACCCGUCCACUUCCCCGGGGGACCCAGGUUUUAGCCUGAACAACGCAAGCCACAGAGGAUGUGCAGCAUGGCCAGUCCGCUGGUGAGUGUGGACGAGAACGGUCUCAAACGGUCCCCUAGAACGACUCGUGGUUUGGAAACAGAAGAAGUUACAUGUCAGUCACGGUGGCAAGAAAGCAGAGCUGGGAGAAGGUUCACAACCAACACAGCGGCUGUGUCUGCGAGGGUGUUUCCAGAAGAGAUUAGCAUUUGGAUCGGUAGACUGAGUACAGAAGAUCACCCUCCCCGGGGCAGGUGGGAAGCAUCCCAUCUGUGAAGAGCCUGAAUGUAACAGAAAAGAGGAAAGGUGAAUUUGCUCUCUUCGCUCGAGCUGGGACAACCAUCGUCUCCCGGCCUCGGACAUCAGAGCUCCCGGUUCCUGAGCCUUCUGGCUCAAGACUGGGACCCCCGCCAUCAGCGCCCUAAUCCUUUGGACUCAGCCUCGCCUGGAUCUGCAGCUUGCAGACGGCAGAUCGUGGGACUUCUCAGCCUCCGUAAUCACGUGAGCCAGUUCCCAUAAUAAACCUCCUCUGACGUGUGUCUCCGGA